CGCAGCCGCGGUAAUUCCAGCUCCAAUAGCGUAUAUUAAAGUUGCUGCAGUUAAAAAGCUCGUAGUUGAAUUUCGGGACUAAUAUGUCGGUCGUGCCUCGGUACGUACUGGCUUAUUGGUUUCUCCUUUCUGAAGAACCAUGACGUCAUUUAUUUGGUGUCGUGGGGAAUCAGGACUGUUACUUUGAAAAAUUAGAGUGUUUAAAGCAGGCUCACGCUUGAAUACAUUAGCAUGGAAUAAUGAAAUAGGACGUUUGAUUCUAUUUUGUUGGUUUCUAGGAUCGACGUAAUGAUUAAUAGGGAUAGUUGGGGGCAUUAGUAUUCAAUUGUCAGAGGUGAAAUUCUUGGAUUUAUUGAAGACUAACUACUGCGAAAGCAUUUGCCAAGGAUGUUUUCAUUAAUCAAGAACGAAAGUUAGGGGAUCGAAGACGAUCAGAUACCGUCGUAGUCUUAACCAUAAACUAUGCCGACUAGGGAUCGGAUGAUGUUAAUUUUUUAAUGACUCAUUCGGCGCCUUACGG
RNAcentral lists this unclassified non-coding RNA (520 nucleotides) under uncultured Glomus. RNAcentral's name for it is "SSU rRNA". It matches the Rfam family "Eukaryotic small subunit ribosomal RNA", at positions 569 to 1093 of the family's 1831-position model. The record is from RNAcentral. Lineage: Eukaryota; Fungi; Glomeromycota; Glomeromycetes; Glomerales; Glomeraceae.